CUCCGUGGUUUCCAGCUCGCGUGGUGGUGGCGGCGGAGCGUCUCCGUGAGGAGGUGCGCGGGGCCAUGACGUCAGCGUCCACCAAGGUUGGAGAGAUCUUUUCCGCGGCCGGCGCCGCCUUCACGAAGCUCGGGGAGUUGACGAUGCAGCUGCAUCCAGUAUCGGACUCUUCCCCUGCCGGUGCCAAGUGGACGGAGACGGAGAUAGAGAUGCUGAGGGCUGCUGUGAAGCGAUUUGGGGACGAUCUUAAUCACAUCAGCUGUGUCAUCAAGGAACGGACAGUCGUACCUGGUGGCCCUACAAAUCCAUACAUCUCCCAGAGAAUCAUGAAAAGGGCCUUUCUGGCCACUCAGUUCAGGAACUCCAUUCUUCAUAACCAGUUAUCCCUAAGUGGAUGCAAAGGUUCUGAAGGGCUCAGAUAAAGACCACUGUGAAGAGAAAAGUAUACGAAGACUCCGGUAUCCCCCUUCCAGCUGAGUCACCCAAGAAAGGUCCCAAGAAGAUGACAUCCGGUGUCCUCUCACCUCCAAACGCCCCUCCGCCCAGCAGCUCCAGUGUCCCUGAAGCUGGGGGUCCUCCCAUAAAGAAACAGAAGGCUGACAGCCUGACCCUGGACUCUGGCCUUCUCUCGACCUCUGCUGAUGCUCCUCUACUCUCCUGCUGAGCCUUCCACCUCUGACCCUCAUUGUUCACCCUGGACCUGUGGAUCGCCUGGGACUCUAAGCAAGGACUGCACGAGAGAGGGUCAGAGGGCUGCUGGAGCUACCCGCCCUGUUCCUGAUAACCACCUCACCCUUUGACUUCUGUCUGAUGGACGUUUUUAUACAGAAAAUUAUAAUUAAAAAUAAUUCUCUCAGCA
This is an RNA transcript of Rattus norvegicus (Norway rat), 859 nucleotides long. It is a transcript of the gene named BPTF associated chromatin complex component 1, with no coding region annotated. Lineage: Eukaryota; Metazoa; Chordata; Mammalia; Rodentia; Muridae. The record is from RefSeq and is marked validated. The transcript has 6 exons.